CUUGAUGGAACCGAGCAGCAGGGGCCGGUCGUCGGGCCGCUCCUGCCCAUACGUCGCCAGCAGCGCCUGCGCCUC
Molecule: antisense RNA, 75 nt
Filed under: Streptomyces sp. NRRL S-4
Lineage: Bacteria; Bacillati; Actinomycetota; Actinomycetes; Kitasatosporales; Streptomycetaceae
Description: ASpks sRNA
Rfam family: ASpks TB sRNA
Source: RNAcentral